AUGUUUUAUUACGUAUAGUGCUAUUACUUCUCUUUAUACAUGUAUAAAUAUAUAUAAAAAAAAAGAGAGCAAAAUCAGUAUGCCCCUACUCGAACAAGAUCCUAACGUCCAACCUCAGUAUUUUUUGUACUAUUAUAACUCAGCAUCAAGAUUGGAAUGGUCUGCAGCAGAUUAUUUUUUAGUUAUCAAACCACCAAGGCAAAUUCAAAG
RNAcentral lists this long non-coding RNA (210 nucleotides) under Mytilus galloprovincialis (Mediterranean mussel). The record is from RNAcentral. Lineage: Eukaryota; Metazoa; Mollusca; Bivalvia; Mytilida; Mytilidae.